RNAcentral lists this ribosomal RNA (527 nucleotides) under uncultured bacterium. RNAcentral's name for it is "bacterial SSU rRNA". It matches the Rfam family "Bacterial small subunit ribosomal RNA", at positions 777 to 1304 of the family's 1533-position model. The record is from RNAcentral.
AAUAGAUACCCGGGUAGUCCACGCCGUAAACGAUGAGUGCUAAGUGUUAGAGGGUUUCCGCCCUUUAGUGCUGAAGUUAACGCAUUAAGCACUCCGCCUGGGGAGUACGGCCGCAAGGCUGAAACUCAAAGGAAUUGACGGGGGCCCGCACAAGCGGUGGAGCAUGUGGUUUAAUUCGAAGCAACGCGAAGAACCUUACCAGGUCUUGACAUCCUCUGACAACCCUAGAGAUAGGGCUUCUCCUUCGGGAGCAGAGUGACAGGUGGUGCAUGGUUGUCGUCAGCUCGUGUCGUGAGAUGUUGGGUUAAGUCCCGCAACGAGCGCAACCCUUGAUCUUAGUUGCCAUCAUUCAGUUGGGCACUCUAAGGUGACUGCCGGUGACAAACCGGAGGAAGGUGGGGAUGACGUCAAAUCAUCAUGCCCCUUAUGACCUGGGCUACACACGUGCUACAAUGGACGGUACAAAGAGCUGCAAGACCGCGAGGUGGAGCUAAUUUCAUAAAACCGUUCUCAGUUCGGAUUGUAGG